UUACGGCCAUAUCAUGUUGAAACACUCGUUCUCAUACAAUAACUGAAGUUAAGCAAUGUCAAAUUUGGUCAGUACCUAGAUGGGUGACCACUUGGGAAUACCAGGUGCUGUAAG
Acanthosepion pharaonis is the source of this 114-nucleotide non-coding RNA. NCBI's taxonomy places the organism in Eukaryota, Metazoa, Mollusca, Cephalopoda, Sepiida, Sepiidae. The record is from the annotation of a GenBank genome assembly.